UGCAGGCGUUCAACUGGGUGUGACUGGAUGCCGAAUUGUAUGAAGCUGCCGAUGUUCGCGGUCUGUAAAACGGAGUUUGAAGGAAAGGACGCUUCACGCUCGAUUUCAAUCAGCGUUGCCGUACGUGAUAGCCGCUGAGCUGUCGGUGGUUCGAGAGAGAGGGAGAAAGAAAGAGACAGUAGAAGAAAGAAAGACGGAACGGAUUCAUUAAAAAAGAAAAGGGAAAAGCAUGCACCAGAAAAUGCUGGGAAAGAAAGCGCGCGCGAGCCUGCGCAUUUGGAGCAUUGUAAAGAUGCGUGGUGUCUUAUGGGUUCGCCAACUGCGUUCCUGUAGUUUUCAUUAUUCGCACCUUUCGCUUCGGUCUUGCGUCAAGCUUGUAUCGUUUCUUUCCUCCUUUCUUUCUUGUUUUCAGUAAUUGGAUUGCGAACCCCCCAGCUUCUGGUUUUCGCGUUCUUUUUUUUUUUUUGCGUAUACCACUUACCUAACAGCGUGACCGCUACAGCAUAGAAGAAUAACGUUUUAGCACUUACGCGAUUGUCAACUUUUCACGUCCUCUUUCUCUUUUUUUUUGUUAUUGUUGUUGGGUGAACGAGGCUUUGUCGACCGGUGCAUCGCCACUUCCGGCGUCUCGGCUCGUCUCGGCUUAGCGUUUGCUCGCGAGCAGCUGCGCGCUCUCAGCGUAUUACGCUGCAAGAAGCGUUCUCGCGUGCCGGAAAACGCCGGGGCACGCCCUAAAUCAGCGAGAAGAGCUUUCAGCGAUUCCGUCCUCGAUGAACGCGCGCCGACCGGAGUGAAACUAUCGCGCAGCGAAGCGCCUUCUCACUGCGCGGCAUAACUUCGCCACUUGCCGGAAGAAGACGCCGCUUCUCCCGACUCGGCCAUGCAAAGACGAAGGCCCUGCGGCCGCCUUAGUUCUAAACCAAAACAGGAUGACGCCCAUUACUAUUCCGCCUUUUUUGCAUCCAGCGGCUAUUUUGACCGCCUCGCGGAUGCGCCCCGAGUACGGCUAGCGCGCUUGCAAAACUGACGCGCCCAGCUCGACAUUUCCGAUUGGACGCGCCGUUCGGUUCCGCGUUCCGAUGCGAUUGUGCGGUGGUCGAGCAGCGCGAACCUGAGCGCGCUUCGAAGACGACGUAAGCCGAUUUGGGGCGACGACUGGCUCCGUCGUCGCUGGAAUUGCCCUGAUCGCCACUGCCGAUGCUUGGGCGGCAGCAACAGUGAUUGGAAUGCGGCUCCCGAGAAUCAAACCUGUGUGAUCUCGUGCUGAGCAGCAAGCCACCAUAGCGACCCAAGCAGGAGAGCUGCACGAAAUGCGUCGCUGCUCCUUCAAAGCCGCGUGCCCGCCGCCCCAACAAAGGCGCCAUUGUCGACAUCAAGCUUCAGCACGUCCGGCAGCGCACAUGCUGCCGCCGCAUCGGGCACGUGCGACGCGCUCCUACGCGAGUGACCGGGAACACUCGCGGAGGCGCGGGCCUUUCACUAUCUGAGAUGGCCGCUCGUA
Long non-coding RNA from Dermacentor andersoni, 1501 nucleotides. RefSeq lists it as uncharacterized. The record is from RefSeq and is a predicted model, not a curated record. Lineage: Eukaryota; Metazoa; Arthropoda; Arachnida; Ixodida; Ixodidae.